CCGGGAGAAUAGCAGUGCCUUGGACCCCAGCUCUCCUCCCCCUUUCCCUCUAAGGAUGGCCCAGAAGGAGAACGCCUACCCCUGGCCCUACGGCCGGCAGACGGCUCCAUCUGGCCUGAGCACCCUGCCCCAGCGAGUCCUCCGGAAAGAGCCUGUCACCCCAUCUGCACUUGUCCUCAUGAGCCGCUCCAAUGUCCAGCCCACAGCUGCCCCUGGCCAGAAGGUGGUGGAGAAUAGCAGUGGGACACCCAACAUCUUAACGCGACACUUCACAAUUGAUGACUUUGAGAUUGGGCGUCCUCUGGGCAAAGGCAAGUUUGGAAACGUGUACUUGGCUCGGGAGAAGAAAAGCCAUUUCAUCGUGGCGCUCAAGGUCCUCUUCAAGUCCCAGAUAGAGAAGGAGGGCGUGGAGCAUCAGCUGCGCAGAGAGAUCGAAAUCCAGGCCCACCUGCAGUAUGGGUUGAUGCCCCCUGAGCCGAAGCCCCUCUGCUCCCUCACCCCCAGCUCCUCAUUCAGCCCCACUUCAUCCAGAUUGCUUUCUCUGUAGCUAUGGCUAGUGAGCCCCGUUUAGCUCUUAGUCCUAGCGAGCCUUGAAUCCAGAAAUCUGCCUCUAGUUUCCCCUUACCACUCCCAGCCCUGGUGUCCACGGCCUGGGCCACGUCUGAUCCCAGUUUGCUCCUAUCAUCUUUUCCAGCUCUUUUAUGCCUUUGGCCUGAGGCCUCCUCUGUCUCUUCCCCCAGCCAUCCCAACAUCCUGCGUCUCUACAACUAUUUUUAUGACCGGAGGAGGAUCUACUUGAUUCUAGAGUAUGCCCCACGCGGGGAGCUCUACAAGGAGCUGCAGAAGAGCCGCACAUUUGACGAGCAGCGAACAGCCACGGUCCGGGCGGAUCAUGGAGGAGUUGGCAGAUGCUCUAAUGUACUGCCAUGGGAAGAAGGUGAUUCACAGAGACAUAAAGCCAGAAAAUCUGCUCUUAGGGCUCAAGGGAGAGCUGAAGAUUGCUGACUUCG
RNAcentral lists this small RNA (1010 nucleotides) under Pongo abelii (Sumatran orangutan). Its description in RNAcentral is "retained intron". The record is from RNAcentral. Lineage: Eukaryota; Metazoa; Chordata; Mammalia; Primates; Hominidae.